Molecule: ribosomal RNA, 458 nt
Filed under: uncultured bacterium
Lineage: Bacteria
Description: partial 16S ribosomal RNA
Rfam family: Bacterial small subunit ribosomal RNA
Source: RNAcentral
CCUACGGGUGGCAGCAGUGAGGAAUAUUGGUCAAUGGGCGAGAGCCUGAACCAGCCAAGUCGCGUGAGGGAGUACUGCCCUAUGGGUUGUAAACCUCUUUUGUCGGGGAGCAAAAGCCGGACGUGUCCGGCUGUGAGAGUACCCGAAGAAAAAGCAUCGGCAAACUCCGUGCCAGCAGCCGCGGUAAUACGGAGGAUGCGAGCGUUAUCCGGUUUUAUUGGGUUUAAAGGGGGCGCAGGGGGAUUUUUAAGGCGGCGGUAAAAUCGUGGGGCUCAACCCCAUCCAGCCGUUGAAACUGGGGAUCUAGAGUGUGCGAGAGGUAUGCGGAAUGCGUGGUGUAGCGGUGAAAUGCAUAGAUAUCACGCAGAACCCCGAUUGCGAAGGCAGCAUACCGGUGCACAACUGACGCUCAGGCACGAAAGCGUGGGUAUCGAACAGGAUUAGAUACCCGAGUAGUC